Molecule: non-coding RNA, 26 nt
Filed under: Drosophila melanogaster (fruit fly)
Lineage: Eukaryota; Metazoa; Arthropoda; Insecta; Diptera; Drosophilidae
Source: RNAcentral
CGAGAUAACAAUAAUUGACCAAUUCU